RNAcentral lists this transfer RNA (90 nucleotides) under compost metagenome. RNAcentral describes it as "tRNA-Ile". The record is from RNAcentral.
CGGCAUUGGCGAAGGUGUCACGCGCCUGGCGCUUGAUCAGGGCCAGCCGCUUGGGGUCCAGCGCCGGUUCAAAGCCGACGAUGUCGACCA